RNAcentral lists this ribosomal RNA (423 nucleotides) under uncultured bacterium. RNAcentral's name for it is "bacterial SSU rRNA". It matches the Rfam family "Bacterial small subunit ribosomal RNA", at positions 207 to 622 of the family's 1533-position model. The record is from RNAcentral.
CAAGACCUGCGCUUUUGGAGCGGCCGAUGCCUGAUUAGCUUGUUGGUAAGGUAAAAGCUUACCAAGGCUUCGAUCAGUAGCUGGUCUGAGAGGACGGCCAGCCACACUGGGACUGAGACACGGCCCAGACUCCUACGGGAGGCAGCAGUGGGGAAUUUUGGACAAUGGGGGCAACCCUGAUCCAGCCAUGCCGCGUGAGUGAAGAAGGCCUUCGGGUUGUAAAGCUCUUUCAGCCGGAACGAAACGGUUACGGUUAAUAUCCGUGACUACUGACGGUACCGGAAGAAGAAGCACCGGCUAACUACGUGCCAGCAGCCGCGGUAAUACGUAGGGUGCGAGCGUUAAUCGGAAUUACUGGGCGUAAAGCGUGCGCAGGUGGUUUUGUAAGUCAGAUGUGAAAGCCCCGGGCUCAACCUGGGAACU